Molecule: ribosomal RNA, 429 nt
Filed under: Bacillota bacterium
Lineage: Bacteria; Bacillati; Bacillota
Description: Firmicutes bacterium partial 16S ribosomal RNA
Rfam family: Bacterial small subunit ribosomal RNA
Source: RNAcentral
UGGGGAAUUUUGGACAAUGGGCGAAAGCCUGAUCCAGCAAUGCCGCGUGUGUGAAGAAGGCCUUCGGGUUGUAAAGCACUUUUGUCCGGAAAGAAAUGGCUCUGGUUAAUACCUGGGGUCGAUGACGGUACCGGAAGAAUAAGGACCGGCUAACUACGUGCCAGCAGCCGCGGUAAUACGUAGGGUCCAAGCGUUAAUCGGAAUUACUGGGCGUAAAGCGUGCGCAGGCGGUUGUGCAAGACCGAUGUGAAAUCCCCGAGCUUAACUUGGGAAUUGCAUUGGUGACUGUACGGCUAGAGUGUGUCAGAGGGGGGUAGAAUUCCACGGGUAGCAGUGAAAUGCGUAGAGAUGUGGAGGAAUACCGAUGGCGAAGGCAGCCCCCUGGGAUAACACUGACGCUCAUGCACGAAAGCGUGGGGAGCAAACAGG